CAGCAGCCACGGUAAUACGUAGGGUGCAAGCGUUAAUCGGAAUUACUGGGCGUAAAGCGUGCGCAGGCGGUUAUAUAAGACAGAUGUGAAAUCCCCGGGCUCAACCUGGGAACUGCAUUUGUGACUGUAUAGCUAGAGUACGGCAGAGGGGGAUGGAAUUCCGCGUGUAGCAGUGAAAUGCGUAGAUAUGCGGAGGAACACCGAUGGCGAAGUCAAUCCCCUGGGCCUGUACUGACGCUCAUGCACGAAAGCGUGGGGAGCAAACAGGAUUAGAGACCCCUGUAGUCCCUGUCUCUUAUAC
RNAcentral lists this ribosomal RNA (301 nucleotides) under uncultured bacterium. RNAcentral describes it as "partial 16S ribosomal RNA". It matches the Rfam family "Bacterial small subunit ribosomal RNA", at positions 509 to 807 of the family's 1533-position model. The record is from RNAcentral.